CCCCCCCCCCCCCCCAUCACCCCCCCCCCCCCCGCCUCCACUACCACCUAUGCCACCAUAUUCAAUUCCCCAGUACAUGCAGACUGCUGGAUCAAUAAAUGCUGUGCCAUACGGCUACAGCAUGUCCCAGCAGCAACCACCUUCCUUGCCUGGGUACUCGGGAGUCGGAACUCAAAUGACUGGUAUUGCACCCUUUACAUUGCCCCCAUCAAAUUCAUACACAAGUUAUCAGGGUUCAGAUGGUAAUUUGUACAGCCAACCAUCAUCGUUGCCAAUUUCCCGGCAAUAGAAUUUUUUAUGGCUGCUUGCAGUGGAGAAGGUUUUGCCAAGGAAACUUGAGAGAUUUCAGAAAACUAAUGUACCUUUUUAGUUACCCAUGUGCCUUUGAUCAUACAUAUAAUUAGAUUUGCACAUAGUAAAUGUUUGUAACUUAUAAGUCAACUGCUGGCGUUUCAACAAUUUCUAUGGAUUGUUCAAUU
This 479-nucleotide unclassified non-coding RNA is filed under the name Hevea brasiliensis (rubber tree). Lineage: Eukaryota; Viridiplantae; Streptophyta; Magnoliopsida; Malpighiales; Euphorbiaceae. The record is from RNAcentral.